Suncus etruscus (white-toothed pygmy shrew) is the source of this 65-nucleotide small nuclear RNA. RefSeq annotates it as U7 small nuclear RNA. NCBI's taxonomy places the organism in Eukaryota, Metazoa, Chordata, Mammalia, Eulipotyphla, Soricidae. The transcript has a single exon. The record is from RefSeq and is a predicted model, not a curated record.
UAUUGCAAACAGCUCUUAUAGAAUUUGUUUGGCAGGCCUUCUGGUCUCCACCAGAAGGCGCCCUU